RNAcentral lists this ribosomal RNA (459 nucleotides) under uncultured bacterium. Its description in RNAcentral is "partial 16S ribosomal RNA". It matches the Rfam family "Bacterial small subunit ribosomal RNA", at positions 338 to 795 of the family's 1533-position model. The record is from RNAcentral.
CCUACGGGAGGCAGCAGUGCGGAAUAUUGGUCAAUGGCCGGAAGGCUGAACCAGCCAAGCCGCGUGUAGGACGAAGGUGCCAAGCUUUGUAAACUUCUUUUGUCAAGGGACAAAAUCAGGCUCGAGAGCCUGACCGAGGGUACUUGCAGCAAAGGCAUCGGCUCACUCCGUGCCAGCAGCCGCGGUAAUACGGAGGAUGCGAGCGUUCUCCGGAUUUGUUGGGUUAAAAGGAUGCGUAGGCGGUCUGUUAAGUCAGCGGUAAAAUUGCGGGGCUCAACCCCGUCGAGCCGUUGAAAUUGGCAGACUUGAGUUGGCGAGAAGUACGCGGAAUGCGCGGUGUAGCGGUGAAAUGCAUAGAUAUCGCGCAGAACUCCGAUUGCGAAGGCAGCGUACCGGCGCCAGACUGACGCUGAGGCACGAAAGCGUGGGGAUCGAACAGGAUUAGAUACCCGAGUAGUC